AAACAAUGAUGGAGAGAGGGUGAGUGUUGCACGCUAACAAAAAAACAGAGAGAAAAAAAAAGGGAAAGUGUUUUGAGAGAUUUUUAACUGCUAGUUUUGGUUUUCUUUAUUUUGUGAAAUUCCCCCCUCUGAUUCUCCCCGCUUCUCUGAAUCCCUUUCUGUUAAUCAUCUGUCUUUCAGGUUCUGAUUUUCGGGUUUGUUUUUGAGAAAAUUUUAUAAAGAAAUGAGUACAAAGCAAACUUAAGAAGGAUUUCUCGAAAGCCAGGUGUUUUCAGAAUCGAGAUCCAGGUUUUUUUUUUUUAAAUAAUUUUUCCCAAGUUUUUCUCUUUAUUUUCUUGUAUUUUCAGCUGUUUUUUUUUUUUUUCUUAGCUGAAUCAGCUUGGAGGGUUAUUUUUUGGUCCCUCAAGGUUGGUUAUUAGGCCUUUCAAUCGUUUAGGGGUUGUCUAAUUUUAAACCUCUUUGAUCUUUCUUUCUUUCUAAAAAAAACCUGUUCUUGAACUUGUUCAAGUACGGGUGGGUUGUUUUUUAAAUCUUGAUUUUUAAUAAUCCUAGUUGAAAAUUUUAGCUUCUGAAGCAUGGCAGCUAUGACGGAUUUACACAGUAGCAGACAUCCUCAGUCAGCCCCCUUUGGGGGUGAGCUAAUGGAAGCACUUGAGCCUUUUAUGAAAAGUGCUUCCUCUUCAACUACGCCUUCUCCUCCUCCUUCUCCUUCUUCUUACCCUCCUUUUUCCUCUUCUUUACCCCCUCUUCCCUCUACUUCUUACAAUUACCUAUCCUUUUCUUCUUCUUCUUCUUCUAUGUGAGAGAAACAGAACGGUAGAGAAUCAGAAGCAAGUGGUGGUCUUGAUAGAAUAUGCAGAACGUAGAAAGAAGAUUGGUUGGUCUUGUUUUGGUUCAACAAAUGGGAGAGAAAAAGUGUGAAAUUGGAAGUAGGAGCGGCGUGAAUAAAGGGAAGAAAAAAAAUAUCAAAGUGAAAGGAGAGAGAGACACAGACAUAGAGUAUAACUAACAU
Molecule: unclassified non-coding RNA, 1012 nt
Filed under: Hevea brasiliensis (rubber tree)
Lineage: Eukaryota; Viridiplantae; Streptophyta; Magnoliopsida; Malpighiales; Euphorbiaceae
Source: RNAcentral